AUGUCGAUGGCCGCCGCGCAGAUCCACCGUAGUCGAGGCCUGCUGGUGGUUGAACACCCCACCAAGGGCAACUUCGUCUUCGAGUUCAACCUGAACCGUCUAUUCUCCGGCGAACCCGACCAGGAGUUCCCACCGAUUCUCAGCCUUCCCGACCCCGUCGCCAAGUUCAACAGCGUACAACCCACGGAAAACAUGGCCAUCACCGUCUCCGGCAACCUCAUCGUUGCCGCCACCUCCCUGUCCCGGACUCUGCUCUACGACACCGACUCGCGCUCCGCCUCCACCGGCCCGGACAUGCUGUCCGGCAAAAUCGAUAUCCUCCUCGUCCCCGUCGCAGACGGUACGUUCUUCGCCAUGUCCUUCUACCCGCACCUCGACGACACUCCCCACGCCGAGCUUCUGGCCAGCAACACGGACGACGCCGGCGGUCGCUUGGCCUGGCACCCCAUCCCGGAUCCACCGCUGUCGUCCAUCCCUCGCCCUCGCUUCAAGAGGGAGUGGCACAUCUCGGGCUACUUUGUCGCGGGCACACGCGUCUGGGUCUCCUUCUUGGAUGAAGGCACUUUCUCCUUCGACACGGCGUGCCGCCGGUGGCGCAGGGAAGGCACCUGGAAGCUGCCCGUGACGGGCCGGGCCCUUUUGAUCCCAGACUUCCUGGGCGGCGGCCGGCAGCUGCUCUUUGGCUUUUCCUCCGGGCAUCGCCAUUUUUGCGCCCGGCGGAUGAAGGCCUCCGGUGAUCAUCAAGGCCUGGCCGGAGGCCAUCCCCUCCCGGCUGGUCUGGCGUGCCAGAUACUUCACAGAAGCACACACCGCCGCCUUUGCCUACUACGGGGCCGGCAGAUUUUGCAUCUCGACGGUCAUCAUCACCGGGUACUUCCCUCAAAAGCCUAUCAACAUGGACGAAGUGCUCAAUCUACCACGCCGCGCCGUCUCCAUCGUGGCCGUCGAGGUCACCCCGGGAAUGCAGUUGAUUAA
This 975-nucleotide ribosomal RNA is filed under the name Triticum aestivum (bread wheat). Its description in RNAcentral is "partial small subunit ribosomal RNA". Lineage: Eukaryota; Viridiplantae; Streptophyta; Magnoliopsida; Poales; Poaceae. The record is from RNAcentral.